AUUGAAAGAUGGCGGAAGGAGGAACACAGGCAAGUCGAACGGUAACAGGAAGCAGCUUGCUGCUUCGCUGACGAGUGGCGGACGGGUGAGGAAUGUCUGGGAAACUGCCUGAUGGAGGGGGAUAACUACUGGAAACGGUAGCUAAUACCGCAUAACGUCGCAAGACCAAAGAGGGGGACCUUAGGGCCUCUUGCCAUCGGAUGUGCCCAGAUGGGAUUAGCCAGUAGGUGGGGUAACGGCUCACCUAGGCGACGAUCCCUAGCUGGUCUGAGAGGAUGACCAGCCACACUGGAACUGAGACACGGUCCAGACUCCUACGGGAGGCAGCAGUGGGGAAUAUUGCACAAUGGGCGCAAGCCUGAUGCAGCCAUGCCGCGUGUAUGAAGAAGGCCUUCGGGUUGUAAAGUCCUUUCAGCGGGGAGGAAGGGAGUAAAGUUAAUACCUUUGCUCAUUGACGUUACCCGCAGAAGAAGCACCGGCUCCCUCCGUG
Molecule: ribosomal RNA, 490 nt
Filed under: uncultured bacterium
Lineage: Bacteria
Description: partial 16S ribosomal RNA
Rfam family: Bacterial small subunit ribosomal RNA
Source: RNAcentral